Molecule: long non-coding RNA, 1694 nt
Organism: Hipposideros armiger (great roundleaf bat)
Lineage: Eukaryota; Metazoa; Chordata; Mammalia; Chiroptera; Hipposideridae
Exons: 3
Source: RefSeq, a predicted model, not a curated record
GCUGGGCGGCGAGGGAAGGGACGGGCGGAGGAAGUGGACGAGAGGGUGUCGCCUCUGAAGCCCAGGGACAUGUCACCUGGUGCCACUGACCACUCCUGGAUCUGCCCCAGAACCUCUGGAAACGAGGUAAGUGUUGGGGACGGAAUGGGACUCCUUCGUCUGUGGCAACAGAAACUGAAGACUCAUCAUGGCGACGUGAGGCCCAGCUCAUCUUGCAAACUUGGGAGAGUCUUACGUUAAGCUGACCCAGAAGCAUAUAGGAAACAGUCACCACUUCUGCAUUCUUUUCAUGAUGUCAGACAAGCAAGAGCCACAGCGCAGAAGCACCAGCACAUCUCCAGGGAGACCACGACGACGUUACCUUGCUGCACACCUGUUCCUGAGGCAACACAGGCGACUGUUGCAUUUGGACAUCUCUGCCUUCUCCUCUCAGCCCCUUUUUGCUGAGAUUCCUGGCACUUGUCCAGAACCAGGUGAAACCUCAGCUCUGUGAUCUUCAAAGCCAGCGUGCAGCUGACGGGGGCAGAGGACCCACACCAGGAAGGCAAGCGGCUGUGUCCAUGGUGGUGACAGGGGGACACUGAUCACCUAUUUUUCAAAUGAGUCUCAUCGAUGGAGCUGCCCACAGCAUGUGGCCUUGUGAGGCUGGCGGUGCUUCCAGCACGAUGCAGACAGCAGCCUGGGUAAGGAAGCCCUCGGACGGGCAGACACGUGAUCCCACGCCCUGGAGGUCAGGGCCCUCAGCAGCGCCCUGGGGCCGGUGAUGACCGCGCUGGCCAAUUCUUGGAACUGAAGACCCCAGGCCCAGGGCGGGGCGCCCUCCAAUUCAGAACUGAACACAGGAAAAUACUCGCCCUCCUGCCACAGGCACAGCUCCUACCCCCACAGCUGUGCUGAGCUUCUCAUGGUCAACCAGCUGCCCCAACUGCAGAAAAGCUUUGCCGGGCUCUAAGUGAGUCAUUAGAUCCUGGUGUCUACACUGACUGUGGGUUUAAAGCUCGUCUGACGCAGUCCUUAUGUUGUGACCCAGCCCACACGCCUCCCCCAUGAAUCCACAAUCACUGAAAAAGAAGUUCUGAAAUUUUCUCCUCGUCUCACCUGGGAGGGGUGCUGGUAUUGGCCCCCCCAUCCCGUCUCGUCACGGACCAAACACUUAGCUGGGCGAGACCCACAGGCUGAUCUCCCAGCCACGGAGGGGGGCACGCCUGCAGUGUGGUGACACAGGCCGCCGCGCGGCUGGCCUCUGAGCACACGCAGAGUGGGGGCACCGACACACGUCCAGGACGGGGCAGCAAUGGGACCCACAGGUGCCCGGCUCGGAGCCCACGGCGGCCCACGUGUCAUUUGCUCAGGGCUCUGCGUCGCCUUCCUCCAGGGUUAAUGUGCAUCUUGGGUCCUUCCAAGAACCAGGGGUGCCCGUGCUAGGUCCCCCUGAAGCGUAAGGGAGGCAUGGGGGCGGCUGACUACACCCCAAAUUAGUGUUUCAUGGAGGUUGGGGUGGGGGGUCGACACAUGACUUUCCCAGGAAAGCCCUUUAGGAAUAACUUCAGUCAGCUGCAAUGACCUCUGACGGAUCUGUGGCACGCUCUCGCCAACGCCACCACCACCCACAUGCCCACCCCGGAUAAACCAUCCCAGGACGCUGCGGGUUUCCUAACUUCCUUCCACGGGAUACGCUCGGCCAGCCUGGCCCG